Suricata suricatta (meerkat) is the source of this 1314-nucleotide long non-coding RNA. RefSeq lists it as uncharacterized. The record is from RefSeq and is a predicted model, not a curated record. The transcript has 2 exons. NCBI's taxonomy places the organism in Eukaryota, Metazoa, Chordata, Mammalia, Carnivora, Herpestidae.
AAAACAUUAAAAAAUUAAAAAAGAAAAAAGAAAAAUGAAACCUGUGUUCAGGUCCCCCAGAGCAGAGGGAUUUUAAAGAGAUGCUCCUGCCCGUGUAUCCCAUUUUGCAAAAUUUCAGCUUCCCCUGGAAGAGGGCUCCCUGCCUUGGAUUCUGGAGGCCCUGGUAUUCUUACCUCCUGAGGAUACCAGCUCUCUGCAUAUUGUUGGACAUGGAACCUGGGCGGUGAGCUCACAGGAUGGUAGGAUGGAAGUAGAGGCCCCAGAUGUUAUGUGCAAGUGGGUGAUGAAAAGUGUGUAGGAGGUGGGGACCGGCUACAGGGCGGGUUGGUGUUCAGAUUUGUGGGCUGCCACUCAAAUUAUGACAUCACAGAAGGAUGGGACAAGUUGCAAAUCCAGGAGCAUGAACAUGGCUUUUCCUCUGCUUAGUUCCCCAUGUAGCCGGCAGAAAUUCUCUUAAACACAAGAUGGAGCAAAGCUGAGGAGUGGGGGGCAGGGGAGACCCCCUGUAAUAGCUCACAUUUUCAGCACCUUUUGUGUGCUCAACACUGGGGUAGGCAGUGGACAUGUAUUACUUUCCUUAACCCUCUCAGUAUGCGACGCAGUAGGUCAUAGUACUCGUCCCAUUUUACAGAUGUGAAAGUGAGACUCAUAGAGGUUAAGUAACUUGCCCAGAGUCAUCCAGGUCAGAUUCAACGAUCAGGAUUUAUCUCGGGCCUGAUUUAAGUCCAUGUCUCUGCAUUCUUCACCCAUGCUGCUUCACUGCAUGUUUGCUGAGGAGCCGGACCUGCCAGAGUAAUACAAAUGGAAAGAGGUGACCUACCUUCCUAAAGGCGUUUUCUGAAGUGAUUUUUAAAGCUAUGUGACACAGGUGACAGAGACUUCACUGUGGUCACCUCGCUGCGUAAAACCAUUUUCUACCUCUGGCCCUUCUGCAAACCAGAGGUCAUCUGGAAUCGGACACCUCUUAAACUUCAUGCUUCACAAAAGCCCGGGAGAGGCAUUUUGGAACUGAAUGCAGUGGCGUCAUGUCUGGAAGACUGGAGCCUGGACCAGGCUGGGACUCAGAGGCAGUGCAGGGCCCCAGAGCAGAGAAUCCUGGGAGCUGAAGCCAUUUUGGAUUAUGGCCUUGGCCCAGGUGGACUUAGUGUCUUGGGCAGGCUUAGCUUCCGUGAGCCCUGUAUCGUUUUCUGGAAAAAAAAUCAGACCCAUAUUUCUCAUCUCACCAGGUAAUUGGGAAGGUCAAGUGAUAUAGUAUAUGCAAAGGAACUUUAUAAACUAUAAAGUGCUCUAAAAAUAAAAGGUGUUAUAUGUGAA